UCUGUCAUCCUUCCUGUCAUUUCCACAGAGGACGCUGGAGGAAGAGGAUGGCAGAGAGAAGGUGAAGAAUUCUCAUUGCUUCAAGUGUCUGGGGACAUUCCCAUUGUCCCAGAAUAUAUAAAGCCAGUUGUUUGGGGGUGAGGCAUCACUCUGUGAAGAUACCCCAGAGAAGAACCAGCAUCUGUUGUAUUUGGUGGCACUGAAUUUGGC
Molecule: long non-coding RNA, 210 nt
Organism: Corvus hawaiiensis (hawaiian crow)
Lineage: Eukaryota; Metazoa; Chordata; Aves; Passeriformes; Corvidae
Exons: 3
Source: RefSeq, a predicted model, not a curated record